This 73-nucleotide transfer RNA is filed under the name Camelus ferus (Wild Bactrian camel). It matches the Rfam family "tRNA". From Rfam's summary of the family: Transfer RNA (tRNA) molecules are approximately 80 nucleotides in length. Their secondary structure includes four short double-helical elements and three loops (D, anti-codon, and T loops). Further hydrogen bonds mediate the characteristic L-shaped molecular structure. tRNAs have two regions of fundamental functional importance: the anti-codon, which is responsible for specific mRNA codon recognition, and the 3' end, to which the tRNAs corresponding amino acid is attached (by aminoacyl-tRNA synthetases). tRNAs cope with the degeneracy of the genetic code in two manners: having more than one tRNA (with a specific anti-codon) for a particular amino acid; and 'wobble' base-pairing, i.e. permitting non-standard base-pairing at the 3rd anti-codon position. Lineage: Eukaryota; Metazoa; Chordata; Mammalia; Artiodactyla; Camelidae. The record is from Rfam by way of RNAcentral.
GAGUGUAUGGCUCAAGUGGUAGAGCACAUGCUUAGCAUGCACGAGGUCCUGGGUUCAAUCCCCGGUACCUCCU